This 253-nucleotide ribosomal RNA is filed under the name uncultured bacterium. RNAcentral's name for it is "partial 16S ribosomal RNA". It matches the Rfam family "Bacterial small subunit ribosomal RNA", at positions 524 to 776 of the family's 1533-position model. The record is from RNAcentral.
UACAGAGGGGGCAAGCGUUGUUCGGAAUUACUGGGCGUAAAGGGCUCGUAGGCGGCCAACUAAGUCAGACGUGAAAUCCCUCAGCUUAACUGGGGAACUGCGUCUGAUACUGGAUGGCUUGGAUCCGGGAGAGGGAUGCGGAAUUCCAGGUGUAGCGGUGAAAUGCGUAGAUAUCUGGAGGAACACCGGUGGCGAAGGCGGCAUCCUGGACCGGUAUUGACGCUGAGGCGCGAAAGCUAGGGGAGCAAACGGG